AUGAAUAUACUUUCAUGGUCCAUUUUCCAUCUCAUUUAUCUGUCCAGAACACCAGACAAAUACUUUCAAAAGCUGGCUGAACUCCCAGUGGCCAAGAAGACACUAAAACCCAACGUGGCUGGAAAAAAGAACAUCAGUGAACAUCAACAUCACUGCCCUUUCCUUCCCACAAGCACUCAGCCCUACAUAGCUGAUGUUAAAGAUGGUCAACCACUCAGUCAUCCAGAAACCUGGGAAUCAUUCCACCUUCCUCCCUCUGAAUUACUCUCUACUCCCAACAACAGAUCCUGCCCAGGGAAUCCAAAAUGUAUCGCCAAUCAAGAAAUGAUAAGCUAAACUAGAUGUGGAAGAGAGAAACGAAAGAAGAAAAAUAUGGAAAACACCAAAAAAUUGACACGGGAAUGGAGUUAAUACAGAAAUAUAUAACACACACCAUAAAGACCUCUAUGGUCACAGAGAGUAUGAGGUGGGGUACAGAUUUAGCUUGAAACUGUCUGACAGCCAAUAGAAGAGGAAAACCCAACCAGUGAUAUAAUCCACAGAAUCCAGAAGAUAAAAUGUCACUAGUCUUCAUGUCAAAGGAACUGGUAUUCAACAAUGCCCCCACUUCCCACAAAACAAUCUCUUCCAAAUGUGAUAAGAGUUGGAAGAGGACUGAGCUCCUCUGCACAAAAGGGAGCCGAGGUUAAGUAGAAAGAACAUGAGCUUUUCCUCUACUGAUGGUCCUGAUCAUUCUAAGAACAAAGGACACCAUGUUUGUAUAGUGCCAGGUAGAAUCUGACCCAUGAUAGCCAUUAUUAUGCAGAGGAAGAUAGGAUAGAAAUGGAGUGGAGGAAGUGUAGGUGGAAGAGGAACAAGAAAAUUAAUGAAGUGAUCUUGACAUCUCUGUUCCUCACCCCUAAAAUUGAGAAAACAUUGUUGAUUUCACAGGUUUAAUGGGACAAUUCAGUGAGAUAAUAGGGAAACAUGCAUUUUCAAAAUGGGUACGAUAGCUAAGCCACUGUUCCGUGAUGGUGAUUGCAGAACACACGUGACUGGCACUUCUUGAAGACAUUCUCUCUGUGACAAUGAAGAAAGCAAAAUCUUCCAUCCUUUGCACUCUGUCGUGUGGAUAUAUUUAUUCUCUGUUAUCUAAAGGUCUUCCUUUCCACCUUCAGCCAGUCUUCCACUGGCAUCCUUCAUCUGGAGCCAGCUGCCCAUCAUACAGGGCCCAGCCCAUCCCCCAGCACCUCUUCCCUUCCCUUUCUGACCAACUAGUCUCCAUCAACCAGAUGGUCCCUGACAUAGAAUGCUUUGACUUGUGAUUUUUCUAUUUUAUGAUGGUACAAAAGCAGUAUGCACUCACUAAAAACCAUAUUGAACUGAAUUUUGAUCUCUUCCCAAAUUAGCAAUAUGCAGUGUGGUCCUCCGUCCUGAUGCUUGGCGAUGGCAGCUAGCCACAGUCCCAGGUCAACCUCAUGAUAAUAAAGAUGAAUACUGACACUCCACAGCAUACUGUGUUGCUAAUCCAGGAUGCUCAGUAAGUUAGGUUUACUCAGUGCAUUUAAGGGUAGUAUUUUCAACCAAGGAUAACCCCACUGUAAGUUAAGGAGCAUCUAUAUUCCAAAACUGCCCUCUUUGUCUCUAGUAACAACAUUGAUAAUACUCAGUGUUCUUGUCCAGACCUUGUCACUGGUCUGUAAAUUUUUUGAAGGCAGAGACAUGUGCCACUUUUUGUGCUGUACAUGUAGGCUAGUACCAGUAUUUAGAAGGAACUCCAUGAACAAUAAAAGUAGACUCUUAAGUACUGUGAUGCUUAACUGAUGACCAUUCUUGCCUGAACUGAAGAUGUAACAUCAACACCUUCAACGGGAAUUAACAAAGGCUAGAAAUUAUUUUUAAACUUAUGCUCAUUCAAGUUGCAAAGCCAAAUUCCAGAAAGCUUCCCAACAUAAAAACAUUCAUUUAGAUCUAAACUUUUCUCAUCUAAGCGCACUUGGACACAUGCAAAUAAAUCAUUUCAACAAACAUUUAUCUUGAGCUGAGUUUUUCUUCUAAGCUUUUUACAACUUUGUAUAGUUCAAAAGAAAUGUAAUCUUCAUAUUAUUCCUUCAUUUGUUCAUAAAUCAUUAAUAUGUUGUUUUGAAUGAACUUUUUAAGAUGAAAAAAAACACCCUCUCAUUUAAGUUGUUGAAAGCAGCUUUUUUUCUUAAAUAUGGAGGUUAUUUUUUACAGAAGAGAAACAUAAAUAUACUUAAAUACUAUUGCUUCCUAAUCUAUACUGUUUGAAAUAUUUGACUAAAUACAUGUCUAUUAUUUAUCUAUAUUUUCAGGGUGUACCUGUAAUUGCAGUGAGCUAUUGAAAGCCAUUCAGCUAGUGAGAUAUCAGAACCUUCAGACAGUUUUUCAGCAAAUAAUGAAAGGGCAUUGAAUGUUUUGGUCAUCUAUAACAAGAAAGAGCUGUAGAAUGAAAAAAUAAAAUUAUUUGGUCUGCUCAGUGCAGCUAACACCUAACAUAUGACCUUUCUUCUCAGCUUUAUAAAUAUCUUUUGCAUCACAAAUGGUGCCAGAAUUGAAUAGAGAGCCUUUAAAACAAGGCAGUGUGUAGACAAUAGCUAUUAUCCUCGAGGACUCAUCUAACUGGCUGUCAGCCAACCUUACAUGUGGAUACUCCUAGAAAGAUAAAAUAUGACAGUUAAUUGGUGUAUGUGAAAAGAGUAAAAUAUCUUAAACAAAAUAUAGCUCAUGCCAAUCAAAUGCUAGAGAAAGUAUUUUCUCAGGAAGUCAUAUUGACCAUAUCAGACACAAGGAAUCAGAAUGUCUGAAAUAACAGUAAUGAUAUAUUUCCUCUGGGCAUGCGCUCUCUCUCUCUCUCUCUCUCUCUCUCUCUCUCUCUCUCUCUCUCUUCUCUCUCUCUCUCUGCUUCCCUCCCUACCUUUUUUCUCCUUUUCUCUUCUUUUACUGAUUACUAGCUAUGAACAUAUGCCACUCCUUCAAAUACAAUCAAUCUGCAAGUAUCCCCAAAUCACUGUAAUUAAUACAUAACAGAUCUGAUCUAAUACAUUUGUACAAUAAAUUCCCACAUUAUGUUACCUCAAAUCAUGUUAAACUGAUCUAUCUCACAGGGACAUAAUCUGUCAAAGAUUUUAGUGGUCAAAUGAUUUGACUUAGGAGUUUUGUAACUAUGAAGCUGUGACUUGUCCCCUGUCACAUGAUAAUGGUUAUAAGCAAAACUAGAUGUGGAAUUCAGAUAUCCUGACCCUUUCCCAGGGCUCUGUCAACUCAGCAUGGUUGGAUUUCUGCCUCUAUGCGCAUGAAUCACUAGCAGGGGAGCAAAGUUGCUGCUCUGAAGAAGCCUGCUUUGAAGCCUACAUGCAUAUACUCACUUCUUGCUAAAUAUUUUCUAUAGUUUGCUCAGUUAAGGAACAAUUUAUGAUGUUCCUAAACUCACUCAAAGCAAGUAUAGUAAAGUAUUAUCAGAAUGGGAGGUAUAGUGGUAGAAUUUCUAGAAGCAAAAUAAAAUACUGUUACCUAAAAGUUUGUCAACCAAACUAUAAAGAGAAAGAACUAAGGUACAGUCAGAAGAAUUCAAACAGUGAGCUCCCUCAGAGUAUGACAGCGCACAUCACAGGUUUAGGGAAGAAAAUCAGUAGAGCAAGGAUCUAGAAAAUGAAUGGUGGGAGGAAAUUAUAAAGAUCAGAGUAGAAAUUAAUGCAGUGAAGGCUAAGAAACAAUACAAACAAUUAAUGAAUUGAAUAGUUGGUUCUUUGAAAGAAUAAAUAAAAUUGAUAAACACCUAACCAACCUUACCAAAAAAAGAAAGAAAAACCUCAAACUCAUGCAAUAAAGAAUGAAACAAGAGAAGUCACUACAGAUCCUGUGGAAAUUCAGAAUAUCAUCAAUACCUACUUCAAAAAUCUUUAUUCUUACAGGAUGGAAAACACAGAAGAAAUAGACAGAUUCCUAGAAACAUAUGAAUUACCAAAGCUGAAUCAAGAAGAUAUAAAAAUUCUGAAAAACCCAAUAUCAAUCAAUGAAAUAAAAAUGUAAUUAAAAACUUACCAACAAAGAAAAGCUCAGGUCCUAAUGAAUUCACAGCUGAAAUCUGCAAGAAAUUUAGAAAACAUUUAACACCAAUACUCUCCAAACUCUGAUGAAAUUGAAAGGGAAACAAUUCUCCCUAAAUCAUUCCUGGAGGCAUGUAUUACCAUAAUACCAAAACCAGGCAAAGACCCAACCAAAACAGAG
This 4227-nucleotide long non-coding RNA is filed under the name Chinchilla lanigera (long-tailed chinchilla). RNAcentral describes it as "lncRNA (ENSCLAG00000027257.1)". The record is from RNAcentral. Lineage: Eukaryota; Metazoa; Chordata; Mammalia; Rodentia; Chinchillidae.